This 328-nucleotide long non-coding RNA is filed under the name Androctonus crassicauda. The record is from RNAcentral. Lineage: Eukaryota; Metazoa; Arthropoda; Arachnida; Scorpiones; Buthidae.
UACUACCUUAGAAAUGUUGGAGUAGUUUGGAAAGUGGUGAAGAAGGGUGGGAAGCAGAUAGCACCGGAGAGAGGCCCUAUGGUGUUUGGAAUCUUGGGGAGUGUGCAGGACCCACUGAGGCGGGAUGGGGGGAAAGGUGUGUACAGUGUCCCUGUGACUGAUAACAGUAUGAGUGGGGGGUCAGCAUGUGUUGGAGUGGCUUCGAGAGUGAUGGGAGCACGUGUGGCGGAACACAGGGGAGACAUAAGGCAUGCAAGGCUUAGUACAUCUUUGGCCGGAGAAGCUUAUAAUAAGAAUGUUGAUGUGGAUUGGAGGGGGGUUAGGUGGA